GAUGAACGCUGACAGAAUGCUUAACACAUGCAGGUCGAUGGGGAAGUGGUGCUUGCCCCAUGGCAACCAUGGCGGACGGGUGAGUAACGCGUAAGGGACUUACCUGCAGGACUGGGAUAACAGGGGGAAACUCCUGACAAGACCGGAUAAUGUCAUGGAGCUGCAUGGCUUUAUGAUGAAAGGAGACGCCUGCGGAGAGCCUUGCGUCCUAUUAGCUAGUUGGUGAGGUAAUGGCUCACCAAGGCGAAGAUAGGUAGCCGGCCUGAGAGGGUGGACGGCCACAAGGGGACUGAGAUACGGCCCUUACUCCUACGGGAGGCAGCAGUGGGGAAUAUUGGACAAUGGGGGCAACCCUGAUCCAGAAAUUCUGUGUGCACGAAGAAGGUUUUCGGAUUGUAAAGUGCUUUCAGCAGGGAAGUAGUAAGUGACGGUACCUGCAGAAGAAGCGACGGCUAAAUACGUG
This 463-nucleotide ribosomal RNA is filed under the name uncultured bacterium. RNAcentral describes it as "partial 16S ribosomal RNA". It matches the Rfam family "Bacterial small subunit ribosomal RNA", at positions 28 to 507 of the family's 1533-position model. The record is from RNAcentral.